RNAcentral lists this ribosomal RNA (660 nucleotides) under Hamelia versicolor. RNAcentral's name for it is "eukaryotic LSU rRNA". The stretch from base 264 to 419 matches the Rfam family "5.8S ribosomal RNA". The record is from RNAcentral. Lineage: Eukaryota; Viridiplantae; Streptophyta; Magnoliopsida; Gentianales; Rubiaceae.
GUGAACCUGCGGAAGGAUCAUUGUCGAAUCCUGCAAAGCAGACGACCGCGAACUCGUGUAACUCCCGGGCACCGGGGGAGGUGGUUGGGGGGCAAUCUUUGCCUCUCCCCGUCCCCCGGUGCUCCCCGUGCGCUGGUCGCACGGUAAAAAACUUAACUCCGGCGCGGAAAGCGCCAAGGAAAACGUAAACGGAUUGCCUGCACCCCCUGAGCCCCGUCCGCGGUGUGCACGGGAGGUGUACGGGCGUCUAUCGUAACCAAAACGACUCUCGGCAACGGAUAUCUCGGCUCUCGCAUCGAUGAAGAACGUAGCGAAAUGCGAUACUUGGUGUGAAUUGCAGAAUCCCGUGAACCAUCGAGUCUUUGAACGCAAGUUGCGCCCGAAGCCAUUAGGCCGAGGGCACGUCUGCCUGGGCGUCACGCAUCGCGUCGCCACCCCACACGCUGUGCGGGGUGACGGAUGUUGGCCUCCCGUGUCUAUGAGGUGCGGCCGGCCUAAAUGCGAGUCCUCGGUAAGGGACGUCACGACAAGUGGUGGUUGAAUGCCUCAACUCGAGUGCUGUCGUGCCGAUGCCCCGUGCCGAAGUCGGGCUCACGUGACCCUUUAGCGAGCCCCUUGGGGGCAAGCCUCGACCGCGACCCCAGGUCAGGCGGGAUUACC